The sequence is a ribosomal RNA, 1483 nucleotides long. It matches the Rfam family "Bacterial large subunit ribosomal RNA", at positions 274 to 2574 of the family's 2925-position model.
UUUCCUCUCAACAGCUAGUCCUCCCUCCAAAAUCCAACAACCAACAUUAAUAACCACUCAUCCCCUACAAAUUUAAAACAAACCAUUUUUCCCCCUUAGUAUAGGAGACAGAAAAGGAACAUGGCACUAUAGAGAAAGUACCGCAAGGGAAAGCUGAAAGAGAAAUGAAAUAACUUAGUAAAGAGAAAGAAAGCAGAGACACAACCUCGUACCUUUUGCAUCAUGACUUAGCAAGACACUCUCAAGCAAAAUGACUUUUAGUUUGAAACCCCGAAACUAAGCGAGCUACUCCAAGGCAGCCUAUCUAGGGCACACCCGUCUCUGUGGCAAAAGAGUGGGAAGACCUUUGAGUAGAGGUGACAGACCUACCGAGCUUAGUAAUAGCUGGUUGCCUACAAAAUGAAUAGAAGUUCAGCCUUAAAGAUUCUUGUUCCAAUAUGUUAUUACUAUCAGUGAGCCCAAGAAACUUAAAGAGUUAUUCAAGGGGGGAACAGCCCCCAUGAAAGAAGAUACAACUUUUCCAGCAGGCUAAAGAUCAUAACUUUUAAGGAAACAUGCCUUAGUGGGCCUAAAAGCAGCCACCCAUAGAGAAAGCGUUAAAGCUCAAGCAUUUUUUCUCCCCAAUACCGACACAAUAAUCUCAAGCCCCUGCCCUAUAGUAGGCCUUUCCAUGCAACCAUGGAAGAGAUAAUGCUAAUAUGAGUAAUAAGAGGGCUUGCCCCUCUCCACAACGCCUGUGCACAUCAGAACGAACCCCCACUGAAAACUAACGCUCCCAACUUAAAAUGAGGGAAUUGAGACACCCUAAGAUAAACCAGAAAAAUUCUCACAAACAUAGCGUUAAUCCAACACAGGAGCGUCCAUGGAAAGACUAAAAGAAAAAGAAGGAACUCGGCAAACACUGGCCUCGCCUGUUUACCAAAAACAUCGCCUCUUGCAUAAUUUACCCUAAGCGUAUAAGAGGUCCUGCCUGCCCUGUGACUGGCAGUUUAACGGCCGCGGUAUUUUGACCGUGCGAAGGUAGCGUAAUCACUUGUCUUUUAAAUGGAGACCUGUAUGAAUGGCAUAACGAGGGCUAAGCUGUCUCCUUUUUCUAGUCAAUGAAAUUGAUCUUCCCGUGCAGAAGCGGGAAUAAACACAUAAGACGAGAAGACCCUAUGGAGCUUUAGACACAAGUGCAGCUCAUGUAAAACCACCCAAAUUAAAGGAAAUAACAAGAUAAUGUCUGCCCUCAUGUCUUUGGUUGGGGCGACCGCGGGGAAACAAAAAUCCCCCAUGUGGAAUGAAAACUUCCUUUUAAACAAGAGCCACAGCUCUAAUUACCAGAACAUCUGACCAACAAGAUCCGGCAUAGCCGAUUAACGGACCGAGUUACCCUAGGGAUAACAGCGCAAUCCCCUUUUAGAGCCCAUAUCGACAAGGGGGUUUACGACCUCGAUGUUGGAUCAGGACAUCCUAAUGGUGCAGCCGCUAUUAAGGGUUC